Molecule: long non-coding RNA, 1328 nt
Filed under: Androctonus crassicauda
Lineage: Eukaryota; Metazoa; Arthropoda; Arachnida; Scorpiones; Buthidae
Source: RNAcentral
AUUUAUUUUCUGUCAUCCAAAAUUAUUAUUUUAAAGAAAUAUUUCUGAUCAAUUGGCAUAUGAUCAGAAAUAUUUCCUAGUUAUUUUAAAAAUCAACAACAAAAAGUUAUUGAAUAAAAAUAUUAAGAAAUUAAUUUUAAAUAGUUAAGCGUUUUCGUUAUAAAACUAAAAUUUCUCUGUCUGAUGUUAUUUUAUUUAUAUUUGACGUAGAAAGAUUACAACCAAAUUGAAUGUGUGACCAAAUUUUCAAGAUCCGUGUUCAUUUCCGAGUCUCUCACGAGUUUUUCCAGGAAAUCCGGCCGGGCCUGUUGAAUUUCAUCCACCAGCCAUUACAGGUUCCGAAAUGUCGCCGCCAAACAUAUUCUAGUGAGAUUCAAUGGCGUAAUAAAAACUAGCUAAUCAAAUUUUCAGGAUCCUUGCUUCAUUUUCUAAAGGGUUGUAACUAAUAUAGAUAUGCAGACAAGCACUCAAAAAAUCUCUUACUAUUACAGAUUUUUGCUAUAUUAUUAGAUUGGUUGGAUGGCUGCAUGAUAAAGAAUUAUUUCAAAUCUGGUAGAUUUUGGAUCGAUUCAUAUCUUUUAGAUUUUUUCAAGGGUUUCAAGAGUUGCGUUCGUUGAUUUCAAUUAUCACCAUCGCUGAUUUUAUCACAGAUGUGGGCAGCCCGUGAUGGCUUUCGGAAUGGUUCACUGGGACAUUUUUCAUUCAGUUGACCCCAGACGAGGAUUGAAUUGCUUCAUAGUCUAAUCUAAUACUGAAUUCUCCUAAUGAGAAUUGAAUGUUAUAUAGAAGAGUAAUAGCUUUUCAUUUAAAAGAAUAUGAAUCAAAUUUCAGAUCCCAUCCUCAUUUUUUCAUUGGGUUCUGGGCCUCGCCCUGGUUGUCCUCAUUUUUUUUAUCACACGACAGAUUCCAUCGCCAGUUUAAUCUGCCUAUGACGAGUUCUGUUGGUCCCUCUGUUUCAUAUUCCAGAUGCAGAUUUAGCAAUAUAAAACCUCAGAAAAACCUAAAUAAUAUGAUUAAAUACUUUAUUUGCAAUGACAUUAAUGAAAGUAUCCAGUAUCGCUAAAUAUUUUUGAUAUAAUCCUACUUCAAAGACACCAGUAAUGCCUACGAUUUUCCUCGGCAUGCAGAAUUUGUUUGUUGGCGCAGAAUUUUUAUUUCAUUUUGAAUAAUAUCCAAUUUUAUAACUUUCAGGAGGGAUUGACAAUUAUUAAAAAUAAUCUUUGAUCGAAACAAUACUUUAAUAAUAACUUUUUAUGAACGUUAGAUUUAUUUCCGUGGAUAGAAUAUAUUAUUUUAGAAAUACUUAUACUUACAUAAUCGCUUUCUCC